GUGCGCGGGAGAACUCUUGCUAAGGAACUCGGCAAAAUGGCCCCGUAACUUCGGGAGAAGGGGCGCCCCGGUAGGGUCAGGGACCCCGCCCGACGCGAGCGUCAGCUUUCGUCGGGUGGGCCCGAGCCCGAGGGGGCCGCAGUGAAAAGGCCCAAGCGACUGUUUAGCAAAAACACAGGUCUCUGCGAAGCCGCAAGGCGA
RNAcentral lists this ribosomal RNA (201 nucleotides) under Brevibacillus sp. LEMMJ03. RNAcentral's name for it is "partial 23S ribosomal RNA". It matches the Rfam family "Bacterial large subunit ribosomal RNA", at positions 1686 to 1841 of the family's 2925-position model. Lineage: Bacteria; Bacillati; Bacillota; Bacilli; Caryophanales; Paenibacillaceae. The record is from RNAcentral.